AUAUUUUAUAGUAGAUAUACAGAAUAUUUUCUUUAUCUUUUGCCUUUUGUAGCUUUUUACUUAUAAUUAGAUCUAAAUUUAUUGGUACUUUUCUACAACCAUAUUACAUUAAGAUAUUGGAAAUAAAAAAUUAUAGAUCUUUUCACGCAUGAACAUCAAGUUAAUCAAAGACAAAACGUUGAUAUUGGGUCAAUAGUACUUCGGCGUGAUACUUAGUGCGCUGUAUUCGGUUUUUUUUUCAAUUUAUUUCUUAAAUAUCUUCAUCAUUUCAAAUGUACAAGCGUUUCGGUUAUGUGUUUUUAGCCAUCUUCGGUGUUAAAAAUUCAAUUAGAACAUACAUACAUGUUUGUUAAUUUAUCGGUGAUCCUAAUGGUAAGUCACCAGUGAGAUAUAAUGUAAUUCUACUCAUGUCAGUUGGAUUACCGUUUGGAAAUUCUCACCAUGAAUCCUUUGUUAAGUGAAUUUUUUAUAUAUAGUAUGUUAAAAAUCUUAUUUUAUAUUUAAUCAGUUUAUCUUACCAUAAGAAUCACCAGCAAUUGGUUAUUCGAAAGUAAUGGAUCAACUUGAAUGUCAUCGUGAUGUUUUUUUAUUCAAAAAAUAUCAGAAUUGUUAGCAACUACCAAAUCGUAAAUUAAAAUUGUCAUAAAGAAGUGUAUAUAAGAUGUCAAAUUCCACUUUGUGUAAAACUCUUAUAGAACUUUAAAUAAAUUGGUUGAUUUAAAACUUGGAAUAUACUAAUCAAUACUAAUAAUAUAAUAAUAAUCGAUACGUUGUUAUUCGAAACGUUAUACGUCUAUAGUAGUAUACUCCUCGGAUUACACUGCUCUCGUCUCUGUUUUGAUCUUAUUUUCAUGUGAAUUGUCAUGUUUAACUAUGUCUUGUGAACCUGUUUUGUUGAUUAUUUCAUUGUAACUAUGAUCUAAGUAUUCCGUGUCGGUUUGAUAAUUAAGUUUGUUAUUUAAUUUUUUAAUAUGUAUCAUUUCUGAUAAUAGUCUUUUGUUGAGGUUUCUUUCUCCAAAAUCUCAAUAUCACUCCACUCAAAAUCAUGAUUGUAAUGCAUCCUAUCGUCUGUGAUAAUCGAAUGUAUAGUUGUAUUACGUUUUAUUUGAUUCUUGUGUUCAUUAAUUCGGGUCUUUAACUGUCUAUUUAAUAGUAAUAUAUCUAAAACAUUAAAUUCUUUUUUUAAUUUAAAUGUUCGUUAAUUGCACUAAAUUAUGCAAAAAAAAUAUAAAACGUACACAUUCCUUGCAAUAAAAGUAAUAAAAAAAUUAAAUUAUAUUAACUUAGAGCAUAUGCACACGCCGCAUAGGUAAAUAAAUUAUUUAUACAUAUUUAACGCGUCAAAUAAAUCAUUUAAAAGAGGAAAAAAUUAAUUAGAGCGUUUAUUUGAGAAGAUAUAAGAAAAUAGUUUAGCUCAUUAAUCUUGUCUCGUCAAGAUAGCUCAGUUUUAAAAAAAAUCGUCUUUCUAGGAUGCCUAGUUCCAAAGAUGUCGACGAUUGAAGUAAUUUAAACGCGCCAGAUUCAUUUUGUACGCGCGCGCCUGACCGUGCAUUAGCUGACGACGCGCGCGUGCGCGGCCCCGUUGACCACCGCUCUCGGUUAGACGACAAUUUCCCGAAAAAUGGUGGGGUUAAUGUUGGUACUAACAAAAUUCCCUAAAUGAUACUAUUUUGAUUUCUAUAGAUUAGCAACACUGUUCAAGUAGUAAGUCUGUAGUUUACAUCAUACAUUUGACAUAUUGUGACAUGUAAUAAAAUAAUAAAUAUUGUAUAAUUAUAAAACAUUGAAAUGAUUUUGGCUUGUCUCACUCGAUAUAUGAAUAUCAUUCAAGAUCAUGACAUAUACAGUUCUUCCCACUAGAAUUAAUGUAAUAAAAUUACCAUCAUUGCAAUAAACAAAUAUGUAUAUCAGAUAAGUAUAAGCUAAUUUUACAUAAAAUAGAGAAUACAAUAUCUAUGUGCUGUUUGUAAUUGCAGAUGUUGUUGAACCGAUUCUUUCUUGUUAUUAAUAUUUUUUCAGCUGACCAGUUAUCUACGUACUUGCAAAAUAUUAAUAAGAAUUGAGAUCCGAUUCUUAAAGGAGACAACUGUAGCAAAAUAAAAAAUAAAAAACAUUUUGUGAAUGAAAGACGGAAGAACCAUAUAUGAGAAGUCAAGGAAUUGCAAGAAAAAUCUUCCAUACAAGACAAGGAAAGUAAAAGAAGAAUAGGAAGAACAUUUUUAUCAAUUUAUUUCUUUUCCUAUCCAUUCUGACAAUUCAUGUAGGAUUAAUAGAAUAUCUAAAUCUUCAUUGUUAUUAAUUUUUUGCCAAAUAUUUUGCAAAUUUUGCUCUUUUUUCUUUAAAAUAUUGCUUUUGUGUCUUGUCCAAAAUGUUGGUUGUUUUAGCAUGCUAUGGAUGCUUUUUUGAUGUUCUGAUAAAUUUGCUGUAAAUAAUAUAGAAUUGUUAAAAUAGUAAAAAUAUUCUGGGAGUAAUUGCAAUAAAGUGUUUAUAAUAUACCU
RNAcentral lists this long non-coding RNA (2498 nucleotides) under Monomorium pharaonis (pharaoh ant). RNAcentral's name for it is "uncharacterized LOC118645045". Lineage: Eukaryota; Metazoa; Arthropoda; Insecta; Hymenoptera; Formicidae. The record is from RNAcentral.